UGUGCCCCCAGCGGGGCUGGUCUGGGCCAAGGUGGGCCCGGUCGGGGCCGUCGUGGCCUUCGCCGUCGUCAUCGCCCUCGUGUGUUACCUGAGCCAGAGCCGCCGCAAGAAGGCGUCGGGAGCCCCCGAGGUGACCCCGGUGGCCCCCCCGGGGCAGGGGGGGGACCCCGAGCGGCGCCCGCUGCAGGCCCGGUGGCUCCGAGGGGCCGUGGGACGGUGGGCGCUGGGGGUUGGGGAGGGGCCGGGAGCACCCCCGGAACCGGCCCCGCCCCCCAAACCCACCCGGGGACCCCCGGAGGAGCCCCCGGAAUACGCCGAGAUCCGGGUCAAGUGACCCCGCCCUGGCCACGCCCACCCCGAUGGACACACCCACCCUGAUGGACACGCCCUCCUGCUCCUGGACAUGCUCACCUUCUGCUGGACACGCCCACCUCCUGCUGGCCACGCCCACCGGGGCCCUGACACACCUGUUGUGACCUGGACACGCCCACCUUCUGCUGGCCACGCCCAUCUCCUCCUGGACAUGCCCACUUUCUGCUGGCCACGCCCCUCUCCUGACCACACCCACCCCUGUGGACACACCCACUGCCUCCUGGCCACGCCCACCACAGGGACCUGCCCAAUGAGGGCCUGGCCCAUCCCCAUCUGGCCCCACCCCCAGGACACAGACACACCCCCAAGGCCCCGCCCCCUCCCGGGCAGGCCCCGCCCCUGUAGUUAUUUAUUGCCCCCCAUUAACGGCCCUUAACGAGCCCCACCCCCAUGACCUUUGACUCCAAGACCCCCCAAAAAUAAACUG
This is a long non-coding RNA of Corapipo altera (White-ruffed manakin), 799 nucleotides long. RefSeq lists it as uncharacterized. The transcript is spliced from 3 exons. The record is from RefSeq and is a predicted model, not a curated record. Lineage: Eukaryota; Metazoa; Chordata; Aves; Passeriformes; Pipridae.